GUGUCAGCAGCCGCGGUAAUACAGAGGUGGCAAGCGUUGUUCGGAAUUACUGGGCGUAAAGGGCGCGUAGGCGGCCUUCUAAGUCGGACGUGAAAGCCCCAGGCUUAACCUGGGAACUGCGUCCGAUACUGGGAGGCUUGGAUUCGGGAGAGGGAUGUGGAAUUCCAGGUGUAGCGGUGAAAUGCGUAGAUAUCUGGAGGAACACCGGUGGCGAAGGCGGCAUCCUGGACCGAGAUCGACGCUGAGGCGCGAAAGCUAGGGGAGCAAACGGGAUUAGAAACCCCCGUAGUCC
RNAcentral lists this ribosomal RNA (292 nucleotides) under uncultured bacterium. RNAcentral describes it as "partial 16S ribosomal RNA". It matches the Rfam family "Bacterial small subunit ribosomal RNA", at positions 505 to 796 of the family's 1533-position model. The record is from RNAcentral.